RNAcentral lists this ribosomal RNA (497 nucleotides) under uncultured bacterium. RNAcentral describes it as "partial 16S ribosomal RNA". It matches the Rfam family "Bacterial small subunit ribosomal RNA", at positions 28 to 507 of the family's 1533-position model. The record is from RNAcentral.
GAUGAACGCUGGCGGCGUGCCUAAUACAUGCAAGUCGAGCGAACAGACGAGGAGCUUGUUCCUCUGACGUUAGCGGCGGACGGGUGAGUAACACGUGGAUAACCUACCUAUAAGACUGGGAUAACUUCGGGAAACCGGAGCUAAUACCGGAUAAUAUAUUGAACCGCAUGGUUCAAUAGUGAAAGACGGUUUUGCUGUCACUUAUAGAUGGAUCCGCGCCGCAUUAGCUGGUUGGUAAGGUAACGGCUUACCAAGGCAAGGAUGCGUUGCCGACCUGAGAGGGGGGUCGGCCACACUGGAACGGAGACACGGUCCAGACUCCUACGGGAGGCAGCAGUAGGGAAUCUGCCGCAGUGGGCGAAAGCCUGACGGAGCAGCGCCGCGGGAGUGAUGAAGGUCUUGGGAUCGUAAAGCUCUGUUAUUAGGGAAGAACAAAUGUGUAAGUAACUGUGCACGUCGUGACGGUACCUAAUCAGAAAGCCACGGCUAACUACGUG